AUUGAACGCUGGCGGCAGGCCUAACACAUGCAAGUCGAACGGUAACAGGAAGAAGCUUGCUUCUUUGCUGACGAGUGGCGGACGGGUGAGUAAUGUCUGGGAAACUGCCUGAUGGAGGGGGAUAACUACUGGAAACGGUAGCUAAUACCGCAUAACGUCGCAAGACCAAAGAGGGGGACCUUCGGGCCUCUUGCCAUCGGAUGUGCCCAGAUGGGAUUAGCUAGUAGGGGGGGUAACGGCUCACCUAGGCGACGAUCCCUAGCUGGUCUGAGAGGAUGACCAGCCACACUGGAACUGAGAAACGGUCCAGACUCCUACGGGAGGCAGCAGUGGGGAAUAUUGCACAAUGGGCGCAAGCCUGAUGCAGCCAUGCCGCGUGUAUGAAGAAGGCCUUCGGGUUGUAAAGUACUUUAAGCGGGGAGGAAGGGAGUAAAGUUAAGACCUUUGCUCAUUGACGUUACCCGCAGAAGAAGCACCGGCUAACUCCGU
This 489-nucleotide ribosomal RNA is filed under the name uncultured bacterium. RNAcentral's name for it is "partial 16S ribosomal RNA". It matches the Rfam family "Bacterial small subunit ribosomal RNA", at positions 30 to 506 of the family's 1533-position model. The record is from RNAcentral.